CACCGUUCUCACAGCAGCCCCACCACGGAGGCAGGCCUAGCUCCCCCUCGGCUCUCAGGGAACCUGCGCUCAGAAGGGUGACUUAAUUAGCCCAAAUCCAAACAGCUGACUGUGUGUGUAAGAAAGUGGAACUGACGUCGGUUUCAAAGCCAACACGAGAACCAGACCUUCUGCUUCCCACCAGAAAAGCCAUCACGCUCUUGCUUUUCAUCUUUUCGCUCGGGCCAAGUUUCGACAGGAAGCAUCCACUGCAGGUAAGUCCGAAUGCACUGAGCUAUGUCGAGACACUCGGUGAGGAGCUGAUGAGGGGGAGGGUGCAGGCCCGACGAGGGGGAGCCACACACUCGCCCCCAUCCACGCCCGUCGCCCUAAGGAAGCCCUUUUUUUGGAUUUUCAUAGGGAGGUUGCACUUGUAACAUAUGUACAGAAUGUGUAAGAAAAACAACAAUAAAAAUGAAAUAUUGGGGGCGUGAGGGAUGACCAAAGGUCAUUUUAUUCCAGGGAAAAAGGUGUGUGGACUUACCCUACAUGAAAUGUGAUGUGGUUAUGAGUCACGGACACACCUCAAAAGUCACAUGAGACUUGGAUAAUUAUCCACAGUCUGCGAAAGCCUGUCUCAUUGUUGCUGUGCAGUUCAAGGUACAAAGUCCAGGGAUGUGAUUUUUGCUUGGUAGUCAACCAGAAGAAAACAUCAGUUUUGAAGCUGGACCUGCCAAAGUGUACCUCUCAAUUAUGCGUGGAUUAUCUCAGCAUAAAUAUUCUUAACAUGUGUGCUAAACAGGGUAACAGUGCCAUGGAUAGGUUCCACGGUCCUGUAACUGCCCUCACACACUCUGACGCGGGCUUUCAGAGCCACCACAUAUGCCACCAAGUGAACACAGCAGCAUGUCAUCUGUCCUUAGCAGGGAUGGGAAGUCCGGAGAAAAAGAGGCACAAAAAUAGGAUGAAUAUGAUGGAGAGGAAUCAUAAAAUGAGGAGAAGGAGAGGGGUGGAGACCCACAACACAACUGAGAAAAUGCUCCCCCCCCGGGGGGGGGGGUGUUCCUGAACCCUUUCUGAGCUCGGGGGGCCUCCGUGUUUGGUCUGAUCCACAUCACUUCCUGUGCGAAGGGAUGGGACAGACAGAGCAGCUCGUUCCCUCGAGCUGAUGAGGCGGGAGAGGGAGGAGCGAUGUGGUCCGCAGACAAGACGGACACACCUUCCUGCCACUUGCCAAGGAGGGAGCCGAGGGCCAGCAGCGCCUGGCCACCCCAAGGGGCCACAUGCAGAAGACCCGUGCUCAGCUCUGGCCUCUCCACGCACCUGUGCUGCGUCGAAUGGCAAUGCCUGCCCUGCAGUCCCUUUGGAAGGUCCGGCUGGGACGCGACCACGCCUGAAUUCUGUGUGGGCGCAUCAGAGAGACUGAUGGGACGAUGCACAUUCAUCCGGGUACCUCCUGCUGAUCUGAUCAGAGAGCCUGCAGGUGAGCCCGGCCCAGUAGAGACAGGCGUUCCUGUCAUUCUGCUGCCUGUCUCCCCUCCUAAAUGGCUCUGAACACUGCCCACCUGCUGCCAACACUGCAACGUCCUCCUUCCGGCCCCUCCCCAGUCCUUGUGGGUCUCCUCCCUGCAGCCAGAGCCCACCUGUCCAAACACAAAUAGGAUCACUGCUAUACUCUGCCUAAACCUUCCAGUGGUUUAAGACAAUUCGAAGUCUCCCUGUAAUCUACAGAGUCUGCGUGAGGGGCUUCUCCGCUGCGCCCCACCAUCCCUUACUGCGGGCUCCUCUGGCCCACACGCCCCUCUUCCUCCUUAGGGAUGUACUGCCGGUCUUGGUUCAGGACCACAGACAUGCUACGUGUGGCGCCUGAGGGGCCCUCUUCUCUGCCCCUUGGUGCUGCCCCCACACCAGCUCCCCUGCAACCCCUGCCCUUCUUCCGGAUUCUGGCUCAGCCUUUCCUUUCCCAGAGAAGCCCGCCCUGCCCCUCCAGCCAGGGUCCCUUGUUAACAGGCUCCCUUGUGAUCUGCUGUAAGAGACCCAUGUUCUUUCCCUUCAAGGAACAUACUGUGGUUUGGGAGGAGGUACCAGGCAACGACUCACACUGCUGGGGUGAGGCCUCUUCCCCUGCAACAUAAGGUCCACGAGAGGAGGAAGUGCUUUUGAUUCAGCUCAUUAUCCUUGGCUCACAGGACGGGGUCUGGCACUCAGCAGGUGCUUGAUAAAUACCUGUAUUCUCUCAGUUUACCCCCCACCCCACGAACUAGCCCUGAGUUGGCAGGUCACAGUCACACACCAACUUGCCAACCCCACAACCAGGGCUGCGGAGCAGACGAUUUUGACUUUGACUUUGUUAUCCUCAUCUUUUUCCUUCUGUAUUUUAUCUCCAAAGAGCUGCUUUCAUACAAAAAAAAUAAACUAAGAUAAAUGCUUUCUUUUA
Sus scrofa (pig) is the source of this 2416-nucleotide non-coding RNA. The record is from RefSeq and is a predicted model, not a curated record. NCBI's taxonomy places the organism in Eukaryota, Metazoa, Chordata, Mammalia, Artiodactyla, Suidae.